GAAGCUUGCUUCUUGGGUGGCGAGUGGCGAACGGGUGAGUAACAUAUCGGAACGUACAGAGUAGUGGGGGAUAACUGAUCGAAAGAUCAGCUAAUACCGCAUACGUCUUGAGAGGGAAAGCAGGGGACCUUCGGGCCUUGUGCUAUUCGAGCGGCCGAUAUCUGAUUAGCUAGUUGGUGGGGUAAAGGCCUACCAAGGCGACGAUCAGUAGCGGGUCUGAGAGGAUGAUCCGCCACACUGGGACUGAGACACGGCCCAGACUCCUACGGGAGGCAGCAGUGGGGAAUUUUGGACAAUGGGCGCAAGCCUGAUCCAGCCAUGCCGCGUGUCUGAAGAAGGCCUUCGGGUUGUAAAGGACUUUUGUCAGGGAAGAAAAGGCUGUUGCUAAUAUCAGCGGCUGAUGACGGUACCUGAAGAAUAAGCACCGGCUAACUACGUGCCAGCAGCCGCGGUAAUACGUAGGGUGCGAGCGUUAAUCGGAAUUACUGGGCGUAAAGCGAGCGCAGACGGUUACUUAAGCAGGAUGUGAAAUCCCCGGGCUCAACCCGGGAACUGCGUUCUGAACUGGGUGACUCGAGUGUGUCAGAGGGAGGUAGAAUUCCACGUGUAGCAGUGAAAUGCGUAGAGAUGUGGAGGAAUACCGAUGGCGAAGGCAGCCUCCUGGGAUAACACUGACGUUCAUGCUCGAAAGCGUGGGUAGCAAACAGGAUUAGAUACCCUGGUAGUCCACGCCCUAAACGAUGUCAAUUAGCUGUUGGGCAACUUGAUUGCUU
This 773-nucleotide ribosomal RNA is filed under the name uncultured Neisseriales bacterium. RNAcentral describes it as "bacterial SSU rRNA". It matches the Rfam family "Bacterial small subunit ribosomal RNA", at positions 75 to 841 of the family's 1533-position model. The record is from RNAcentral. Lineage: Bacteria; Pseudomonadati; Pseudomonadota; Betaproteobacteria; Neisseriales.